CGCGGCCUAUCAGCUUGUUGGUGAGGUAACGGCUCACCAAGGCAUCGACGGGUAGCUGGUCUGAGAGGACGAUCAGCCACACUGGGACUGAGACACGGCCCAGACUCCUACGGGAGGCAGCAGUAGGGAAUCUUGCGCAAUGGGCGAAAGCCUGACGCAGCCACGCCGCGUGGGGGACGAAGGCCCUCGGGUUGUAAACCCCUUUCAGCAGGGACGAAAAUGACGGUACCUGCAGAAGAAGCUCCGGCCAACUACGUGCCAGCAGCCGCGGUAACACGUAGGGGGCAAGCGUUGUCCGGAUUUAUUGGGCGUAAAGGGCUCGUAGGCGGUUUGGUAAGUCGGGUGUGAAAUCUCAGGGCUCAACCCUGAGAAGCCAUCUGAUACUGCCAUGACUAGAGUUCGGUAGAGGAGCGUGGAAUUUCCGGUGUAGCGGUGAAAUGCUCAGAUAUCGGGAGGAACACCAGCAGCGAAGGCGGCGCUCUGGGCCGAAACUGACGCUGAGGAGCGAAAGCGUGGGUAGCAAACAGGAUUAGAUACCCUGGUAGUCCACGCCGUAAACGGUGGGCACUAGGUGUGGGGCCUAAUCAACGGGUUCCGUGCCGUAGCUAACGCAUUAAGUGCCCCGCCUGGGGAGUACGG
RNAcentral lists this ribosomal RNA (639 nucleotides) under uncultured Actinomycetes bacterium. RNAcentral describes it as "bacterial SSU rRNA". It matches the Rfam family "Bacterial small subunit ribosomal RNA", at positions 232 to 885 of the family's 1533-position model. The record is from RNAcentral. Lineage: Bacteria; Bacillati; Actinomycetota; Actinomycetes.